AGAACGAACGCUGGCGGCAUGCCUAACACAUGCAAGUCGAACGAGAUCCUUCGGGAUCUAGUGGCGCACGGGUGCGUAACGCGUGGGAACCUGCCCCUCGGUUCGGAAUAACACAGAGAAAUUUGUGCUAAUACCGAAUGAUGACUUCGGUCCAAAGAUUUAUCGCCGAGGGAUGGGCCCGCGUAGGAUUAGCUUGUUGGUGGGGUAAUGGCCUACCAAGGCAACGAUCCUUAGCUGGUCUGAGAGGAUGAUCAGCCACACUGGGACUGAGACACGGCCCAGACUCCUACGGGAGGCAGCAGUGGGGAAUAUUGGACAAUGGGCGAAAGCCUGAUCCAGCAAUGCCGCGUGAGUGAUGAAGGCCUUCGGGUUGUAAGCUCUUUACCCGGGAUGACAUGACAGUACCGGAGAAUAAGCUCCGGCUAACUCCGCGCCAGCAGCCGC
RNAcentral lists this ribosomal RNA (444 nucleotides) under uncultured bacterium. Its description in RNAcentral is "SSU rRNA". It matches the Rfam family "Bacterial small subunit ribosomal RNA", at positions 26 to 518 of the family's 1533-position model. The record is from RNAcentral.